RNAcentral lists this ribosomal RNA (1359 nucleotides) under uncultured bacterium. Its description in RNAcentral is "bacterial SSU rRNA". It matches the Rfam family "Bacterial small subunit ribosomal RNA", at positions 28 to 1381 of the family's 1533-position model. The record is from RNAcentral.
GAUGAACGCUAGCUACAGGCUUAACACAUGCAAGUCGAGGGGCAGCAUUUCAGUUUGCUUGCAAACUGGAGAUGGCGACCGGCGCACGGGUGAGUAACACGUAUCCAACCUGCCGAUAACUCGGGGAUAGCCUUUCGAAAGAAAGAUUAAUACCCGAUGGCAUAAUUAGACCGCAUGGUCUUAUUAUUAAAGAAUUUCGGUUAUCGAUGGGGAUGCGUUCCAUUAGGCAGUUGGUGAGGUAACGGCUCACCAAACCUUCGAUGGAUAGGGGUUCUGAGAGGAAGGUCCCCCACAUUGGAACUGAGACACGGUCCAAACUCCUACGGGAGGCAGCAGUGAGGAAUAUUGGUCAAUGGGCGCAGGCCUGAACCAGCCAAGUAGCGUGAAGGAUGACUGCCCUAUGGGUUGUAAACUUCUUUUAUAUGGGAAUAAAGUUUUCCACGUGUGGAAUUUUGUAUGUACCAUAUGAAUAAGGAUCGGCUAACUCCGUGCCAGCAGCCGCGGUAAUACGGAGGAUCCGAGCGUUAUCCGGAUUUAUUGGGUUUAAAGGGAGCGUAGGUGGACAGUUAAGUCAGUUGUGAAAGUUUGCGGCUCAACCGUAAAAUUGCAGUUGAUACUGGCUGUCUUGAGUACAGUAGAGGUGGGCGGAAUUCGUGGUGUAGCGGUCAAAUGCUUAGAUAUCACGAAGAACUCCGAUUGCGAAGGCAGCUCACUGGACUGCAACUGACACUGAUGCUCGAAAGUGUGGGUAUCAAACAGGAUUAGAUACCCUGGUAGUCCACACAGUAAACGAUGAAUACUCGCUGUUUGCGAUAUACAGUAAGCGGCCAAGCGAAAGCAUUAAGUAUUCCACCUGGGGAGUACGCCGGCAACGGUGAAACUCAAAGGAAUUGACGGGGGCCCGCACAAGCGGAGGAACAUGUGGUUUAAUUCGAUGAUACGCGAGGAACCUUACCCGGGCUUAAAUUGCAUUUGAAUAUAUUGGAAACAGUAUAGCCGUAAGGCAAAUGUGAAGGUGCUGCAUGGUUGUCGUCAGCUCGUGCCGUGAGGUGUCGGCUUAAGUGCCAUAACGAGCGCAACCCUUAUCUUUAGUUACUAACAGGUCAUGCUGAGGACUCUAGAGAGACUGCCGUCGUAAGAUGUGAGGAAGGUGGGGAUGACGUCAAAUCAGCACGGCCCUUACGUCCGGGGCUACACACGUGUUACAAUGGGGGGUACAGAAGGCAGCUACCUGGUGACAGGAUGCUAAUCCCAAAAGCCUCUCUCAGUUCGGAUCGAAGUCUGCAACCCGACUUCGUGAAGCUGGAUUCGCUAGUAAUCGCGCAUCAGCCAUGGCGCGGUGAAUACGUUCCCGGGCCU